Molecule: transfer RNA, 71 nt
Filed under: Ictidomys tridecemlineatus (thirteen-lined ground squirrel)
Lineage: Eukaryota; Metazoa; Chordata; Mammalia; Rodentia; Sciuridae
Description: Spermophilus tridecemlineatus (thirteen-lined ground squirrel) tRNA
Rfam family: tRNA
About the family: Transfer RNA (tRNA) molecules are approximately 80 nucleotides in length. Their secondary structure includes four short double-helical elements and three loops (D, anti-codon, and T loops).
Source: Rfam by way of RNAcentral
GGGGCUGUAGCUCAGUGGUAGAGCGCCCGCCUCACUCUUAUGAGGCACUGGGUUCAAUCCUCAGCACCCCA